RNAcentral lists this ribosomal RNA (497 nucleotides) under uncultured bacterium. RNAcentral's name for it is "partial 16S ribosomal RNA". It matches the Rfam family "Bacterial small subunit ribosomal RNA", at positions 28 to 507 of the family's 1533-position model. The record is from RNAcentral.
GAUGAACGCUGGCGGCGUGCCUAAUACAUGCAAGUCGAGCGAAAAGACGAGGAGCUUGCUCCUUUGACGUUUGCGGAGGACGGGUGAGUAACACGUGGGACACCUACCUAUCAUACUGGGAUCACUUGGGAAAACCGGAGCUAACACCGGAUGAUAUUUCGAACCGUAUGGUUCGAUAGUGAAAGAUGGCUUUUCUGUAUGUUAUAGCUGCUCAUGCGCCGUAUUAGCUGGUUGGUGAGGUCACAGCUUACGAAGGGAACGAGGCGUAGCCGACAUGAGAGGGUGGUCGGCCGCCCUGGAACUGAGACACGCUCCAGAGGCCUAGGGGAGGGAGCAGUAGGGAAUCUGGCGCAAGGGGCGAAAGCCUGACGGAGCAACGCCGCGGGAGUGAGGAAGGUCGUCGGAUCGGAAAUCUCUGUUAUUAGGUAAGAACAAGCGUGUAAGUGACUGUGCACGUCUGUACGGUAACUAAGCAGAGAGCCACCGCUAACUUCGUU